GGCUCUUGGCGGUGGAUCACUCGGCUCGUGAAUCGAUGAAGGACGCAGCUAGCUGCGUGAUUUA
Ciona savignyi (Pacific transparent sea squirt) is the source of this 64-nucleotide non-coding RNA. The record is from Rfam. Lineage: Eukaryota; Metazoa; Chordata; Ascidiacea; Phlebobranchia; Cionidae.